Molecule: ribosomal RNA, 310 nt
Filed under: Blastocystis sp.
Lineage: Eukaryota; Bigyra; Opalinata; Blastocystidae
Description: SSU rRNA
Rfam family: Eukaryotic small subunit ribosomal RNA
Source: RNAcentral
AAAGAGCAAGCCAUGCAUGUGUAAGUAUAAAUAGUUAACUUUGAAACUGCGAAUGGCUCAUUAUAUCAGUUAUAGUUUAUUUGAUGAAGAAUACUAAUUGGAUAACCGUAGUAAUACUAGAGCUAAUACAUGUAUAAAGUCUUGUAGACUGCAUUUAUUAGAAUGAAAACCAUAGGUUUCGGCCUAUUCGUGAGUAAUAAUAACUAAUCAUAUCGUAUGCUUAUGUAACGAUGUGUCUUUCAAGUUUCUGCCCUAUCAGCUUUCGAUGGUAGUGUAUUGGACUACCAUGGCAGUAACGGGUAACGAAGAA